Long non-coding RNA from Strongylocentrotus purpuratus (purple sea urchin), 921 nucleotides. RefSeq lists it as uncharacterized. Lineage: Eukaryota; Metazoa; Echinodermata; Echinoidea; Camarodonta; Strongylocentrotidae. The transcript is spliced from 3 exons. The record is from RefSeq and is a predicted model, not a curated record.
UCCAUUAUAUAUUAAAUAAUGAUUGUGUAUGCAAAUGUCAAUGGUUGGUAACGCCCAUAAUAUGAAUAUUCAUGAGCUUGACUGCCCAUAUUAUCCUCUAUUCCAGGCACCUUUCCAUUUUGUGUUCUUUGUGUAUUCUUAUCAGAAAUCCUACGUGCGGUAAAUAAGUCUCUGUAUCACUAUUCUCCUUCUUAUUUGAAUGCAAAUUUGGGUAUAAUGAUCGAUAACUGUAAUCAUCCUCAUUAUUUUAAUAAGAAAUUUUCUAUCUGUGAUGAAAGUUUUUAUGUACGAUUGCCUGAUCUGAAGAAAAGACUUUCGCUGCAUGCAUAUUUAAUGUAUGACGUCACCCACACAGAGUGAGAGUUCGAGGUUUUCUUUGAAAGUUUGAUGGAGAAUGUACAGAGACUUGUCGCAGUUAAUGCAGUACCAAAUGCUUGCUUUCUUGGAGUAUGUGUUGAAACAAGAAUGUCCUGGAGAAAACAGACCACCACAAGAGAAGACAUACAUGUACAGUAUGGACUAUGAAGUUCUACUUAGCCUCUUCAAUGAACUGCUGGAGCUGCGACUGGGUAUCAAAACCUUGGUAUUAUAAACCUCAUAACAAGUGGCGGAGAUAUGUUGUUAGCCAGGGGGGAGGGGUCAGUGCCCCCCCCCCCCUCCCCCACUUUUUCAAGUACCCCCUAAAUGCCUCUUUUAUGUUCGUUUCACAUAGGUAAAGUGCCAUAUUACUUUGACAAGUUCCCCUAUUAAUUUGUAAAAGUGCCCCUUCCCCAUCUCACCUCCGAUAAGUGCCCCUUAUCCUUCGACAAGUUCACAUUAUUCUUUGCAAUAAGUGUUCAUUUUCCAUUCUCAUAAGUGCCCUUUUCAAUCUCUAGUAAGUGCCCCUUUUCAACUACGUGAAAUGCCCCUUUUCACUUUUGA